RNAcentral lists this ribosomal RNA (253 nucleotides) under uncultured prokaryote. RNAcentral describes it as "partial 16S ribosomal RNA". It matches the Rfam family "Bacterial small subunit ribosomal RNA", at positions 524 to 776 of the family's 1533-position model. The record is from RNAcentral.
UACGUAGGUGGCAAGCGUUGUCCGGAAUUAUUGGGCGUAAAGCGCGCGCAGGCGGUCCUUUAAGUCUGAUGUGAAAGCCCACGGCUCAACCGUGGAGGGUCAUUGGAAACUGGGGGACUUGAGUGCAGAAGAGGAAAGUGGAAUUCCACGUGUAGCGGUGAAAUGCGUAGAUAUCUGGAGGAACACCGGUGGCGAAGGCGGCAUCCUGGACCAAUUCUGACACUGAGGAGCGAAAGCCAGGGGAGCAAACGGG